CUGCUGCCUUCCGUAGGAGUCUGGUCCGUGUCUCAGUACCAGUGUGGGGGGCCUUCCUCUCAGAACCCCUACGCAUCGUCGCCUCGGUGGGCCGUUACCCCGCCGACUAGCUAAUGCGCCGCAUGCCCAUCCGUGGCCGGGAUUGCUCCCUUUGGCGGCCUUGGGAUGUCCCUAGGCCGCGUUACGCGGUAUUAGACGGGGUUUCCCCGCUUAUCCCCCUGCCACGGGCAGGUUCGCAUACGUGUUACUCACCCGUGCGCCGGUCGCCGGCAACGG
RNAcentral lists this ribosomal RNA (276 nucleotides) under uncultured bacterium. RNAcentral's name for it is "partial 16S ribosomal RNA". The record is from RNAcentral.